RNAcentral lists this ribosomal RNA (616 nucleotides) under uncultured bacterium. RNAcentral describes it as "bacterial SSU rRNA". It matches the Rfam family "Bacterial small subunit ribosomal RNA", at positions 338 to 948 of the family's 1533-position model. The record is from RNAcentral.
CCUACGGGAGGCAGCAGUGGGGAAUUUUGGACAAUGGGCGCAAGCCUGAUCCAGCCAUGCCGCGUGCGGGAAGAAGGCCUUCGGGUUGUAAACCGCUUUUGUCAGGGAAGAAAUCCUUUGGGCUAAUACCUCGGAGGGAUGACGGUACCUGAAGAAUAAGCACCGGCUAACUACGUGCCAGCAGCCGCGGUAAUACGUAGGGUGCGAGCGUUAAUCGGAAUUACUGGGCGUAAAGCGUGCGCAGGCGGUUAUGCAAGACAGAUGUGAAAUCCCCGGGCUUAACCUGGGAACUGCAUUUGUGACUGCAUAGCUCGAGUACGGCAGAGGGGGAUGGAAUUCCGCGUGUAGCAGUGAAAUGCGUAGAUAUGCGGAGGAACACCGAUGGCGAAGGCAAUCCCCUGGGCCUGUACUGACGCUCAUGCACGAAAGCGUGGGGAGCAAACAGGAUUAGAUACCCUGGUAGUCCACGCCCUAAACGAUGUCAACUGGUUGUUGGACGGCUUGCUGUUCAGUAACGAAGCUAACGCGUGAAGUUGACCGCCUGGGGAGUACGGCCGCAAGGUUGAAACUCAAAGGAUUGACGGCUGAGAGAGCGAGACGACGACGAGGGAGGAGG